RNAcentral lists this ribosomal RNA (301 nucleotides) under uncultured bacterium. Its description in RNAcentral is "partial 16S ribosomal RNA". It matches the Rfam family "Bacterial small subunit ribosomal RNA", at positions 509 to 809 of the family's 1533-position model. The record is from RNAcentral.
CAGUAGCCGCGGUAAUACGUAGGGUGCAAGCGUUAAUCGGAAUUACUGGGCGUAAAGCGUGCGCAGGCGGUUCGCUAAGACAGAUGUGAAAUCCCCGGGCUUAACCUGGGAACUGCAUUUGUGACUGGCGGGCUAGAGUAUGGCAGAGGGGGGUAGAAUUCCACGUGUAGCAGUGAAAUGCGUAGAGACGUGGAGGAAUACCGAUGGCGAAGGCAGCCCCCUGGGCCAAUACUGACGCUCAUGCACGAAAGCGUGGGGAGCAAACAGGAUUAGAUACCCCAGUAGUCCCUGUCUCUUAUAA